Molecule: ribosomal RNA, 427 nt
Filed under: uncultured bacterium
Lineage: Bacteria
Description: bacterial SSU rRNA
Rfam family: Bacterial small subunit ribosomal RNA
Source: RNAcentral
UGGGGAAUUUUGGACAAUGGGCGCAAGCCUGAUCCAGCCAUUCCGCGUGCAGGACGAAGGCCUUCGGGUUGUAAACUGCUUUUGUACGGAACGAAAAGCCCUUCUCUAAUACAGAGGGGCCAUGACGGUACCGUAAGAAUAAGCACCGGCUAACUACGUGCCAGCAGCCGCGGUAAUACGUAGGGUGCAAGCGUUAAUCGGAAUUACUGGGCGUAAAGCGUGCGCAGGCGGUUAUGUAAGACAGAGGUGAAAUCCCCGGGCUCAACCUGGGAACUGCCUUUGUGAGUGCAUGGCUAGAGUACGGUAGAGGGGGAUGGAAUUCCGCGUGUAGCAGUGAAAUGCGGAGAUAUGCGGAGGAACACCGCUGGCGAAGGCAAUCCCAUGGAACUGUACUGACGCUCAUGUACGAAAGCGUGGGGAGCAAACA